This is a non-coding RNA of Nerophis lumbriciformis (worm pipefish), 73 nucleotides long. The record is from the annotation of a RefSeq genome assembly. NCBI's taxonomy places the organism in Eukaryota, Metazoa, Chordata, Actinopteri, Syngnathiformes, Syngnathidae.
GCCCGGUUAGCUCAGUCGGUAGAGCAUGAGGUUCUUAAUCUCAAGGUCGUGGGUUUGAGCCCCACAUUGGGUG